This 253-nucleotide ribosomal RNA is filed under the name uncultured bacterium. RNAcentral's name for it is "partial 16S ribosomal RNA". It matches the Rfam family "Archaeal small subunit ribosomal RNA", at positions 474 to 727 of the family's 1478-position model. The record is from RNAcentral.
UACCAGCACCCCGAGUGGUCGGGACGAUUAUUGGGCCUAAAGCAUCCGUAGCCGGUUCUACUAGUCUUCCGUUAAAUCCACCUGCUUAACAGAUGGGCUGCGGAGGAUACUAUGGAGCUAGGAGGCGGGAGAGGCAAGCGGUACUUAGUGGGUAGGGGUAAAAUCCGUUGAUCCAUUGAAGACCACCAGUGGCGAAGGCGGCUUGCCAGAACGCACUCGACGGUGAGGGAUGAAAGCUGGGGGAGCAAACCGG